RNAcentral lists this ribosomal RNA (1280 nucleotides) under Derbidae sp. 2 MLC-2022a. Its description in RNAcentral is "SSU rRNA". It matches the Rfam family "Eukaryotic small subunit ribosomal RNA", at positions 591 to 1774 of the family's 1831-position model. The record is from RNAcentral. Lineage: Eukaryota; Metazoa; Arthropoda; Insecta; Hemiptera; Derbidae.
CCAAUAGCGUAUAUUAAAGUUGUUGCGGUUAAAAAGCUCGUAGUUGGAUCUGUGUCCCGCGCCGUCGGUUCACCGCCUGUCGGUGUUUAACUGGCGUGUCUGUGGGACGUCCUGCCGGUGGCUGUUUGGUUGACAUAGCGGGUUCGUAGAGGUCAUUGCGGUAAAAUACCGCGUGUCUCGAAGGCCUGUUUGUUUUAUCGGCAGCCUUUACAAUCCCGUGGCGGUGCUCUUUACCGAGUGUCGUCGCGGGCCGGCACGUUUACUUUGAACAAAUUAGAGUGCUUUAAGCAGGCCCUGUCCCGCCUGUAUGUUUUGUGCAUGGAAUAAUGGAAUAGGACCUCGGUUCUAUUUUGUUGGUUUUAGGAACCUGAGGUAAUGAUCAAUGGGGACAGGCGGGGGCAUUCGUAUUGCGACGUUAGAGGUGAAAUUCUUGGAUCGUCGCAAGACGGACCGAAGCGAAAGCAUUUGCCAAGUAUGUUCCUGUCGAUCAAGAACGAAAGUUAGAGGUUCGAAGGCGAUCAGAUACCGCCCUAGUUCUAACCAUAAACUAUGUCUGCCAGCGAUCCGCCGAAGUUCCUCAUAUGACUCGGCGGGCAGCUUCCGGGAAACCAAAGCUUUUGGGUUCCGGGGGAAGUAUGGUUGCAAAGCUGAAACUUAAAGGAAUUGACGGAAGGGCACCACCAGGAGUGGAGCCUGCGGCUUAAUUUGACUCAACACGGGAAAACUCACCAGGCCCGGACACCGGAAGGAUUGACAGAUUGAGAGCUCUUUCUUGAUUCGGUGGGUGGUGGUGCAUGGCCGUUCUUAGUUGGUGGAGCGAUUUGUCUGGUUAAUUCCGAUAACGAACGAGACUCUAGCCUACUAACUAGGCGUACCCGGUAUCCACAAUCGUGCUACCGGCGAUUCAAUAUCUUCUUAGAGGGACAGGCGGCUUCUAGCCGCACGAGAUUGAGCAAUAACAGGUCUGUGAUGCCCUUAGAUGUCCUGGGCCGCACGCGCGCUACACUGAAGGAAUCAGCGUGUUUCCCCUGUUCGAAAGGACCGGGUAACCCGCUGAACCUCCUUUGUGCUAGGGAUUGGGGCUUGUAAUUGUUCCCCAUGAACGAGGAAUUCCCAGUAAGCGUGAGUCAUAAGCUCGCGUUGAUUACGUCCCUGCCCUUUGUACACACCGCCCGUCGCUACUACCGAUUGAAUGAUUUAGUGAGGUCUUCGGACCGGUGCGCGGAGGCUGCUAGCGUAGUUUCCGAUGUUGCUGGAAAGAUGACCAAACUUGAUCAUUU